AGGAGAGUUUGAUCCUGGCUCAGGAUGAACGCUAGCGGCAGGCCUAAUACAUGCAAGUCGGACGGUAAAAUCACUUUCGGGUGGUUGAGAGUGGCGGACGGGUGCGCAACGCGUAUGCAACCCACCCCCGACGGGCGCACAGCCGGUGGAAACGCCGGGUAAUGCGCCAUGCGCACUUGGGGGGGCAUCCCCUCGGGUGCAAAGCGGCGACGCGGUCGGGGACGGGCAUGCGUCCCAUUAGCUUGUUGGCGGGGCGACGGCCCACCAAGGCUACGAUGGGUAGGGGAUCUGAGAGGACGGUCCCCCACACUGGUACUGAGACACGGACCAGACUCCUGCGGGAGGCAGCAGUAAGGGAUAUUGGGCAAUGGGGGGAACCCUGACCCAGCCAUGCCGCGUGAGGUAGGAAGGCCCUACGGGUCGUAAGCCUCUUUUGUCCAGGGACAAGGACGCGCACGUGAUGCACGUUUGAGGGUACUGGAAGAAUAAGCGUCGGCUAACUCCGUGCCAGCAGCCGCGGUAAUACGGAGGACGCGAGCGUUAUCCGGAUUCAUUGGGUUUAAAGGGUGCGUAGGCGGCCGUGCAAGUCAGCGGUGAAAGCCCGGGGCCCAACCCCGGAAGUGCCGUUGAUACUGUGCGGCUGGAAUGCGGUCGAGGCGGGCGGAACGUGGCGUGUAGCGGUGAAAUGCGUAGAUAUGCCACAGAACGCCGAUAGCGGAGGCAGCUCGCCAGGCCUGCAUUGACGCUCGGGCACGAAAGCGUGGGGAUCGAACAGGAUUAGAUACCCUGGUAGUCCCCU
Molecule: ribosomal RNA, 799 nt
Filed under: uncultured Bacteroidota bacterium
Lineage: Bacteria; Pseudomonadati; Bacteroidota
Description: bacterial SSU rRNA
Rfam family: Bacterial small subunit ribosomal RNA
Source: RNAcentral